UUUAGUGUUUACGGCACAAUGGUUUAGGUCGGGUGGCUUGCGUUGUUCACCCCUUAAUGCGGCGUUAUGUUCUUAUAGGUUAUGUAAUGAAAGAUUCGACUAAAGAGUGGUUAGGCAUUAAGCCUGCUGACUUUAUUAUG
This 140-nucleotide ribosomal RNA is filed under the name Vibrio parahaemolyticus 861. RNAcentral describes it as "partial 23S ribosomal RNA". The record is from RNAcentral. Lineage: Bacteria; Pseudomonadati; Pseudomonadota; Gammaproteobacteria; Vibrionales; Vibrionaceae.